CCCGGUGAAGUUUUAACGGCCGCAGUUAGAAGCUGUGCUAAGGUAGCGUAGUAAGUUGUCCUUUAAAUGGGGAAAGGAAUGAAUGGUUUGACGUGAGAAUUUCUGUCUCUGGUAGAGCCUAAAAAAUUUUCUUCUUGGUGAAAAGCCCAAGAUUUAAAUAAAAGACGAGAAGACCCUUUCGAGCUUGAUUAAGCGAGAAAUUAGUUUUGAGUAGAAGUUUGGUUGGGGCAACCUAGGAGGAAGAAAAGACUCCUUAGAGAUGAUUUGGAUCCAAAAUUUUUGAAAAGGGAAAAAGCUACCGUAGGGAUAACAGCGUUAUCUUUCCUGAGAGAACAUAUUGAAGGAAGG
This 348-nucleotide ribosomal RNA is filed under the name Galeommatoidea sp. MN6766. Its description in RNAcentral is "partial 16S ribosomal RNA". It matches the Rfam family "Bacterial large subunit ribosomal RNA", at positions 1862 to 2515 of the family's 2925-position model. Lineage: Eukaryota; Metazoa; Mollusca; Bivalvia; Galeommatida. The record is from RNAcentral.